This 704-nucleotide ribosomal RNA is filed under the name Dugesia bifida. Its description in RNAcentral is "eukaryotic LSU rRNA". It matches the Rfam family "Eukaryotic large subunit ribosomal RNA", at positions 527 to 1212 of the family's 3401-position model. Lineage: Eukaryota; Metazoa; Platyhelminthes; Tricladida; Dugesiidae. The record is from RNAcentral.
UGUAAUAUUGAUAGAGCUGUGAUGGACUAAUAAUAGACUGUUAUGGUUUUGUUAGUGUUAUACAAAAUUGAAGUGUUGGUCUAUAGUCUGCAGUGUAUGUAGUUUACUUACUCGUCCCGUCUUGAAACACGGACCAAGGAGUUUUAUAUGAUCGCGAGUCAAAGGGCUGUACGAAACCCCACGGCGUAAUUAAUGUAAAGGUUUGCUUUAGUAAACUAAGAUGUGACCUCGUGGAAACACAGAGUGCAACAUCGACCCGCCUUAAGUUGUUCGCAACUGGGCGGAGUUUGAGCGAUCAUGUAGAGACCCGAAAGAUGGUGAACUAUGCUUGUGCAGGUUGAAGCCAGAGGAAACUCUGGUGGAGGACCGCCGCGGUUCUGACGUGCAAAUCGAUCGUCGGACAUGAGUAUAGGGGCGAAAGACUAAUCGAACCAUCUAGUAGCUGGUUCCCUCCGAAGUUUCCCUCAGGAUAGCUGACAUUUGUUGUUGUAGUUUUACCCGGUAAAGCGAAUGAUUAGAAGUAUUGGGGGUGAAAUGCCCUCAACUUAUUCUCAAACUUUAAAUGGGUUCGAAGUGUGUCUUUCUUCAUUGAAGAUGUGCAUCGAAUACAAGUGUCUAGUGGGCCAUUUUUGGUAAGCAGAACUGGCGAUGUGGGAUGAACCAAACAUCUGGUUAAGGUGCCUAACAUAACGCUCAUGAGAACC